This 30-nucleotide non-coding RNA is filed under the name Homo sapiens (human). The record is from RNAcentral. Lineage: Eukaryota; Metazoa; Chordata; Mammalia; Primates; Hominidae.
ACCCAACUACAAUCCCAUGGAGAACCCCAC